Molecule: long non-coding RNA, 1398 nt
Filed under: Scleropages formosus (Asian bonytongue)
Lineage: Eukaryota; Metazoa; Chordata; Actinopteri; Osteoglossiformes; Osteoglossidae
Description: lncRNA (ENSSFOG00015033341.1)
Source: RNAcentral
UGUUUAUUAUUAUUGUUGUUGUUUUACUCCGACACCCACUAUAACAUCUUCACACACAUUUUCAGAACCGCUUGUCCCUCACGGGGUCACGGGAAACCGGAGCCUACCCGGCAACACAGGGCGUAAGGCCGGAGGGGGAAGGGGACACACCCAGGACGGGACGCCAGUCCGUCGCAAGGCACCCCAAGCGGGACUCGAACCCCAGACCCACCAAAGAGCAGGACUGCGGUCCAACCCACUGCGCCACCGCAUCCCCUAUAACAUCUUCAUCUAUCCAUUAUUCUAAACUGAGCCCCCCAUCAUCCCUCACACACCUGUCCUCCACUGCGCCUCAAAAACUGGGCCUGACCUUCUGUGAAAUAGCUCUUUUACAAGAGUUGUGGAGCAAUAAAGAAUGAAUAACAGGCCUCCUCCUGCCAUGUCGAGGAAAAACGCAGCGACGCACAACAUGACGUCCUUUGGAUCCUCUGCAUUUUGCCCUGAAGUAACACAUAUAUUUACAUAACACAUAUUAUUACUCCAAAGAUAAGUUGGAAGAAAAGUGACUUGUUAAAUUGUGUAUAUGAAUAUUUUCCUCUAAAUGUAAGCAGUCCAGAAAGUGGCGGGUUGAGACCCAUAUCUCAUAUGGCGUUCCACCACGAUCCAGGGGUGCACUUGCUCCAGGAGUGACAUCACGCUCGCAAGAGUCAGCCACAGCACCACCUAUAAACUCUGCACUUUAGAGGCCUAAUUAAAAGCCCUUUUAUAGCCAUUAAACCAUGGAGUGUGCGGCAGCCUUGGUAUAAAGGGAAUAAGAGUUGAAAUAAUCUCAGCAAUGAUGUCAUGGCGCUGAGAGAAUGAACCCGCUGAUGGUUUUUUUUUUUUUGUUUGUUUUUUGCUAUUUCUAGUUUACAGCAGGAAUAAUCGGAGAAGAGCGGGACUGUGAAGAGACGCUGAUGCUGGCAUGAUAUCAUCUCACUGUCACGCCCACAGCGGUGGCAGAUUCGUUCAUUUCAGAUCAGGACCCGAGAGCCUUGUGAGAUGUCCUCCAUAGGUCUUGUGGAAAUUCAAAAAAGUGCAGGACUUAUCUAAAUAACCCUGCUCCCCUCUCUUCCCGUCUCGCGUGAGUUCUCUGCCAGGCUCAGCCACUUCUCCGAGCUCCUCGUUCAUUUCCCUUUUUUUUUUUUUUUGUGUCUCACCACUUUUCCAUUUGGAAAAAAAAAAAAAACACAAGCCAGAACUGUAACCAGAACAUGAGCUGGUUUUCUUUGUUUCUUUUGCAGCUCUGGGUAUAACUGUUAUGAUGGAAAUGGUCCUUGUCAUACCAAUCUGGCACGACAUAAAAUGUAAAGAGCUCUUGAACAAUUCGGUUUUAAACAAUUUCCUGGCAGGGAGAGACGGUAUCUAAGCAGCGACAUC